CAGACAGAGACCUGAUGCCACUUGCUAAGGUAAAAUCAUUUUUUAAUUUUUUGCAUCAUAAAUGAGGGACAAAGUUACUUAAAGAUAACUAAAUGUAAAUUACGGUCUAGAGGCCUUAUUUUUUUAAUCCGAUCAGUACGCUAGCUAAAUAUUUCCAGCAGCUAAAUACCAGACUUUCCCCUUGUGCCACAAUGAUGACACUUAUUUGCUACUCUUGACAAGAGAAUGAUGAGAGCUCUCAACCACCUGUAUUUCAAACUGAGGCACAACACUGUUGGGAACAGUUUCAUCUAUUGAUGUCUGAACCUGUUUCAUAACUCUCCUCUCUUUUCUCAGGUUUUAAUGGAGGAAGUUGGAAGCCCCAUAGAAGGAAGAUUCUCCGGUAAGAAACAGAAUAACUCCUCUUGGAAAAACAUAUCCAUGGCCCAUUAAUGGGUUUCUCCUUCCUUCAUGGAGCUGAGGGAGUGCAAUGACAAGGAUGGUUAUGGAAGAUGUUUAGAGUUCUGUGUCUGCUUAAUACAUCAGAACAAUUCUAACUCUUGCUAUUACUCAGUUUCUUGGAUUGUCUUCUCCGGUUGAGUAGCUGUCUCUAGAGCAUCUUUUCAUUCAGAGCCACUCCUGCCUUUUGGUAGAUCACACUAACUAAACCAAACUCCUUAUUAGAAAAAUAGCUUAGAACCAGUCUCACCAAAGCCGAUACAGUGAUGACAACAUAGUUCAGCAGAAUGCACAGUGACGAACACAAGCUUUGUCUUUCGCUCCUAUCUGAUGUAUCUGGCUAUCAUGUGAUCCUCCCCGAUACAUAUUAGUAAUGGUAAUGGUGCCUAAUUUUUCCUUUUCUCUUCAUAUAGGCCUGGAAGAUGAAUCCUGAUGAUGAAAGGCUGUGUUAAAUAGAUUGGCUUCGGAUGACCACCUGCCUGAUGUAUGGAGAUAAAAAUUCCAAUUUGAACACAGUUCCAUAAUGUUUGCAGGGAGAGUAAAGCACAGGACACUUCAUACAAAGGCUUCCAGAGGGUGCUUGGGUAUCCUGACUGGGGUGACUUGGAUGUACAGAGUGCUGUUAUUAGCAGUGGUAAGUCAUCAGUCUGCUAGUUUUGCUUUGGUUUUAACUUCGCUAUUGACAUAAUGUAAUAAAUAGUUCGGUUCCCUGCUACAGUCUGGUGUCCAGGUGCUGGCAUCUAAGGGUCUCAUGCAUUAUAGUGGAAAUCAUACUAAAGUUCUUAAUGUAGAAUUCCUGUGAGGUUUCCUGGCUUGUCCUUUUUCCUUUUCUGCCACAAGAUUUCAGGUACUGUUAGCCUGCAGGGCUCACUUAAGGAUAAUCCAAGGUAGUGCUUCACCAGAGACUUAAUGCUUUGUUUUGAGACCUGUGGAUAAACAGCCACAGUGGAUUUUGAAGACUUGUGUUCUAGGGAAUCGUGGAAUGUUGUAGGCUAAUACACAUAGCAGCUGUCUCCUACAGGGUUUAUAAUGAUGUUGACAAAUGUCUGACCUGAAAUCAGUAUGUGGACUACUUCAUUACUGAAAGACCCUGUAAAUGAAGUAAUACAGAAAUGAAGACACACUGUUUUACUUUAUGCAGAAUUGCUUCCUUUUUACUCCUGGAGAGCUGUCAAAAAGAAACUAAUGCUCUCACUUCUGCUUGUUAGGUCCUGGCCCUGUCUUGACUAAAUUUGGGUGAGUAUGUAUUUUUGUUUAGACCAAUAAGUUGUUAACUUGUAGCUAGUAGGAGCAUUGUUGUAACCAGUGAUGAAAUUAGAUUCUGCCAAAUGAAUGUCCGUGAUAUUACUCCUUUCCGUUCCAUUUACUC
Long non-coding RNA from Terrapene triunguis (Three-toed box turtle), 1807 nucleotides. The record is from Ensembl. NCBI's taxonomy places the organism in Eukaryota, Metazoa, Chordata, Testudines, Emydidae.